AGAGUUUGAUCAUGGCUCAGAUUGAACGCUGGCGGCAUGCCUUACACAUGCAAGUCGAACGGUAACAGGUUAAGCUGACGAGUGGCGAACGGGUGAGUAAUAUAUCGGAACGUGCCCAGUCGUGGGGGAUAACGCAGCGAAAGCUGUGCUAAUACCGCAUACGAUCUCUGGAUGAAAGCGGGGGAUCGCAAGACCUCGCGCGAUUGGAGCGGCCGAUAUCAGAUUAGCUAGUUGGUGGGGUAAAAGCCCACCAAGGCGACGAUCUGUAGCUGGUCUGAGAGGACGACCAGCCACACUGGAACUGAGACACGGUCCAGACUCCUACGGGAGGCAGCAGUGGGGAAUUUUGGACAAUGGGCGCAAGCCUGAUCCAGCAAUGCCGCGUGCAGGAUGAAGGCCUUCGGGUUGUAAACUGCUUUUGUACGGAACGAAACGGUCUGCCCUAAUACGGUGGGCUAAUGACGGUACCGUAAGAAUAAGCACCGGCUAACUACGUGCCAGCAGCCGCGGUAAUACGUAGGGUGCGAGCGUUAAUCGGAAUUACUGGGCGUAAAGCGUGCGCAGGCGGUUAUGUAAGACAGAUGUGAAAUCCCCGGGCUCAACCUGGGACCUGCAUUUGUGACUGCAUAGCUAGAGUACGGUAGAGGGGGAUGGAAUUCCGCGUGUAGCAGUGAAAUGCGUAGAUAUGCGGAGGAACACCGAUGGCGAAGGCAAUCCCCUGGACCUGUACUGACGCUCAUGCACGAAAGCGUGGGGAGCAAACAGGAUUAGAUACCCUAGUAGUCC
Molecule: ribosomal RNA, 786 nt
Filed under: uncultured bacterium
Lineage: Bacteria
Description: bacterial SSU rRNA
Rfam family: Bacterial small subunit ribosomal RNA
Source: RNAcentral